RNAcentral lists this ribosomal RNA (186 nucleotides) under Salmonella enterica subsp. enterica serovar Infantis. RNAcentral's name for it is "partial 16S ribosomal RNA". It matches the Rfam family "Bacterial small subunit ribosomal RNA", at positions 1 to 180 of the family's 1533-position model. RNAcentral also lists the same sequence under 18 other names. Lineage: Bacteria; Pseudomonadati; Pseudomonadota; Gammaproteobacteria; Enterobacterales; Enterobacteriaceae. The record is from RNAcentral.
AAAUUGAAGAGUUUGAUCAUGGCUCAGAUUGAACGCUGGCGGCAGGCCUAACACAUGCAAGUCGAACGGUAACAGGAAGCAGCUUGCUGCUUCGCUGACGAGUGGCGGACGGGUGAGUAAUGUCUGGGAAACUGCCUGAUGGAGGGGGAUAACUACUGGAAACGGUGGCUAAUACCGCAUAACGUC